CGCGCAGGCGGCUGGUCAAGUCCGAUGUGAAAUCUCCCGGCUCAACUGGGAAACUGCAUCGGAAACUGAUCGGCUUGAAGGUGGGAGAGGGUAGUGGAAUUCCCGGUGUAGUGGUGAAAUGCGUAGAUAUCGGGAGGAACACCAGUGGCGAAGGCGACUACCUGGCCCAUUCUUGACGCUGAGGCGCGAAAGCUAGGGGAGCGAACG
RNAcentral lists this ribosomal RNA (207 nucleotides) under uncultured bacterium. Its description in RNAcentral is "partial 16S ribosomal RNA". It matches the Rfam family "Bacterial small subunit ribosomal RNA", at positions 568 to 774 of the family's 1533-position model. The record is from RNAcentral.